This 325-nucleotide ribosomal RNA is filed under the name uncultured bacterium. RNAcentral's name for it is "bacterial SSU rRNA". It matches the Rfam family "Bacterial small subunit ribosomal RNA", at positions 28 to 334 of the family's 1533-position model. The record is from RNAcentral.
GAUGAACGCUGGCGGCGUGCUUAACACAUGCAAGUCGAACGGGGCACCCCUGAAGGAGUUUUCGGACAACUGAUGGGACUGCUUAGUGGCGGACGGGUGAGUAACGCGUGAGUAACCUGCCUUGGAGUGGGGAAUAACAGCUGGAAACAGCUGCUAAUACCGCAUAAUGCAGUUGGGUCGCAUGGCUCUGACUGCCAAAGAUUUAUCGCUCUGAGAUGGACUCGCGUCUGAUUAGCUAGUUGGCGGGGUAACGGCCCACCAAGGCGACGAUCAGUAGCCGGACUGAGAGGUUGGCCGGCCACAUUGGGACUGAGACACGGCCCAG